UCUUCCGUAGUAUAGUGGUCAGUAUGCAAGCUUGUCACGCUUGAGACCCGGGGUUCAAUUCCCGGCGGGAGAG
This 73-nucleotide transfer RNA is filed under the name Fusarium proliferatum. It matches the Rfam family "tRNA". From Rfam's summary of the family: Transfer RNA (tRNA) molecules are approximately 80 nucleotides in length. Their secondary structure includes four short double-helical elements and three loops (D, anti-codon, and T loops). The record is from RNAcentral. Lineage: Eukaryota; Fungi; Ascomycota; Sordariomycetes; Hypocreales; Nectriaceae.